This 427-nucleotide ribosomal RNA is filed under the name uncultured bacterium. RNAcentral's name for it is "partial 16S ribosomal RNA". It matches the Rfam family "Bacterial small subunit ribosomal RNA", at positions 355 to 774 of the family's 1533-position model. The record is from RNAcentral.
UAGGGAAUCUUCGGCAAUGGACGAAAGUCUGACCGAGCAACGCCGCGUGAGUGAAGAAGGUUUUCGGAUCGUAAAACUCUGUUGGUAGAGAAGAACGUUGGUGAGAGUGGAAAGCUCAUCAAGUGACGGUAACUACCCAGAAAGGGACGGCUAACUACGUGCCAGCAGCCGCGGUAAUACGUAGGUCCCGAGCGUUGUCCGGAUUUAUUGGGCGUAAAGCGAGCGCAGGUGGUUUAUUAAGUCUGGUGUAAAAGGCAGUGGCUCAACCAUUGUAUGCAUUGGAAACUUGUAGACUUGAGUGCAGGAGAGGAGAGUGGAAUUCCAUGUGUAGCGGUGAAAUGCGUAGAUAUAUGGAGGAACACCGGUGGCGAAAGCGGCUCUCUGGCCUGUAACUGACACUGAGGCUCGAAAGCGUGGGGAGCAAACA